CCAAGGAGUUUAGCGUGUGCGCGAGUCAUUGGGCGUUGAAAACCCAAAGGCGCAAUGAAAGUGAAUGAUUCCCUCGUGGAGCUGAUGUGCGACCCUGCGUACUGCGGUGCGUGGGGGCAGCAUAGCCCCGUCUUGACCGCUUGCGGUGGGGCGGAGAAAGAGCGUACGCGCUGAGACCCGAAAGAUGGUGAACUAUUCCUGAGCAGGACGAAGCCAGAGGAAACUCUGGUGGAAGUCCGAAGCGAUUCUGACGUGCAAAUCGAUCGUCUGACUUGGGUAUAGGGGCGAAAGACUAAUCGAAC
This 302-nucleotide ribosomal RNA is filed under the name Radopholus similis. Its description in RNAcentral is "eukaryotic LSU rRNA". It matches the Rfam family "Eukaryotic large subunit ribosomal RNA", at positions 666 to 940 of the family's 3401-position model. The record is from RNAcentral. Lineage: Eukaryota; Metazoa; Nematoda; Chromadorea; Rhabditida; Pratylenchidae.